Transfer RNA from Aspergillus terreus NIH2624, 86 nucleotides. It matches the Rfam family "tRNA". From Rfam's summary of the family: Transfer RNA (tRNA) molecules are approximately 80 nucleotides in length. Their secondary structure includes four short double-helical elements and three loops (D, anti-codon, and T loops). Lineage: Eukaryota; Fungi; Ascomycota; Eurotiomycetes; Eurotiales; Aspergillaceae. The record is from Rfam.
GGUUGCUUAGUGUAGUGGUUACCACAUUGGAUUUUGAUCGAUUCGGCAAUGUUCCAAUAACCUGGGUUCGAUCCCCAGAGCAACCU